Molecule: ribosomal RNA, 390 nt
Filed under: Chrysophyceae sp.
Lineage: Eukaryota; Chrysophyceae
Description: partial small subunit ribosomal RNA
Rfam family: Eukaryotic small subunit ribosomal RNA
Source: RNAcentral
AUUCCAGCUCCAAUAGCGUAUAUUAAAGUUGUUGCGGUUAAAAAGCUCGUAGUUGGAUUUCUGGUCGUGGUCGCCGGUCGUGCCCAAACGGGUUCUGUACCUGGCGCCCGCGUCCAUCCUCGGGGAGAGCGUGUCUGGCAUUAAGUUGUCGGGCUCGGGACCCCCGUCAUUUACUGUGAGCAGAAUAGAGUGUUCAAAGCAGGCUUAGGCCAUGAAUACAUUAGCAUGGAAUAAUAAGAUAAGACCUUGGUCUAUUUUGUUGGUUUGCAUUCCAAGGUAAUGAUUAAUAGGGAUAGUUGGGGGUAUUCGUAUUCAAUUGUCAGAGGUGAAAUUCUUGGAUUUAUGGAAGACGAACUACUGCGAAAGCAUUUACCAAGGAUGUUUUCAUCA